AGCAGGAUUCAGCAGCAGAAGUAUGAGACGAGAAGGCCCGGCGCGGCGGCCCACGCCUGUAUUUCCAGCACUUUGGGAGGCCGAGGCGGGCGGAUCACGAGGUCAGGAGACAGACCAUCAUGGCUAACAUGGUGAAACCCCGUCUCCACUACGAAUACAAAAAGUUAGCCAGGCGUGGUGGCGGGCACCUGUAAUCCCAGCUUCUCGCCAGGCUGAGGUAGCAGACUGCUUGAACCCGGGAGGUGGAGGUUACACUGAGCUGAGGCUGCGUCACAGACUCCAGCCUGGCAACAGACUACAGCCUGGCAACAGACUGAAACUCCGCCUCAAAAAAAAAAGUGAGACGAGGCGAGGCGAGGCGAGGCGAGGCGUGGCGAGGCGUGGCAUGGCGAGGCGAGGCGAGGCGAGGCCCGACCGUACUGAUCUUAAGUAUUGCUGCUCAUAAAGUAGCACCAAUUCUGCAGCUGAACUCUUACGUUUCUGAGAUCCUCUCUGAUUGGAAGACAAAGUCCAUCUUCCUUAGAAUGUUGUACAGAGACCAUCCACCUUCAGAUGAUCAUGCAACAAAGAUUCCAGCAAGUUCCAGGUGAAGACACCACACCUCACCAUCAAGAAGCUACCUUGUCUCCACUAGACAGAGGAGGAUAAAAUUCAUCCAUUGCCCUGGCUUUAUGUAAUGUUACACUCUUAUGUUUACCUUCAUAUGUCAGUGUCAAUCUUCUUUUGAACAAAGUGCUUCUUCACACAUAAAACGUGAAUACUAAUGUGCAUGUGUUGCCAAAAACCUUCAGAAAAACCUUGUACCACUUCAAUUUGAAUUCCUGGAGAAAUGAGUUGUUGAUUCCCCAUACCAAUUCCAACAAAAAAUGUCAUCUGCUUUAUUUUGUAAUUCA
Long non-coding RNA from Callithrix jacchus (white-tufted-ear marmoset), 893 nucleotides. RefSeq lists it as uncharacterized. The record is from RefSeq and is a predicted model, not a curated record. Lineage: Eukaryota; Metazoa; Chordata; Mammalia; Primates; Cebidae.